AUUCCUACGGGAGGCAGCAGUGAGGAAUCUUCCACAAUGGGCGAAAGCCUGAUGGAGCAACGCCGCGUGCAGGAUGAAGUCCUUCGGGUCGUAAACUGCUUUUAUUUGUGAAGAAUAUGACGGUAACAAAUGAAUACGGGUCGGCUAACUACGUGUCAGCAGCCGCGGUCAUACGUAGGACCCAAGCGUUAUCCGGAGUGACUGGGCGUAAAGAGAUC
Molecule: ribosomal RNA, 218 nt
Filed under: uncultured prokaryote
Description: partial 16S ribosomal RNA
Rfam family: Bacterial small subunit ribosomal RNA
Source: RNAcentral